RNAcentral lists this ribosomal RNA (382 nucleotides) under uncultured eukaryote. RNAcentral describes it as "partial 18S ribosomal RNA". It matches the Rfam family "Eukaryotic small subunit ribosomal RNA", at positions 592 to 976 of the family's 1831-position model. The record is from RNAcentral.
UGUAAGCGUAUACCAAAGUUGUUGCAGUUAAAACGCUCGUAGUCGGAAUUUGGCAGUUCCGGAUGUGUGCACGUCGUGUGCGCACUUCGCGGGGAUUGCUUUUGUGGUCUUGCGUAGGAUGAGGCACUUUUAUUAGUGAACGUCCUCACGCAACCACUUUUUACUGUGAGAAAAUCAGAGUGCUCAAAGCAGGCAUUUGCCGUGAAUGUAUUAGCAUGGAAUAAUAGAAUAGGACUUGGUUCUAUUUUGUUGGUUUGUUGGGUCUGAGUAAUGAUUAAGAGGGACAGUUGGGGGCAUUUGUAUUUCGGUGCUAGAGGUGAAAUUCUUAGAUUACCGAAAGACAAACUGCUGCGAAAGCGUCUGCCAAGGAUGUUUUCAUUGA